RNAcentral lists this ribosomal RNA (251 nucleotides) under uncultured bacterium. RNAcentral describes it as "partial 16S ribosomal RNA". It matches the Rfam family "Bacterial small subunit ribosomal RNA", at positions 524 to 776 of the family's 1533-position model. The record is from RNAcentral.
UACGUAGGGUGCGAGCGUUGUCCGGAAUUAUUGGGCGUAAAGGGCUCGUAGGCGGUUUGUCGCGUCGGGAGUGAAAACUCAGGGCUUAACCCUGAGCCUGCUCGAUACGGGCAGACUAGAGGUAUGCAGGGGAGAACGGAAUUCCUGGUGUAGCGGUGAAAUGCGCAGAUAUCAGGAGGAACACCAAUAGCGAAGGCAGCUCGCUGGGACGUUACUGACACUGAGGCGCGAAAGCGUGGGGAGCGAACAGG